RNAcentral lists this long non-coding RNA (1301 nucleotides) under Myripristis murdjan (pinecone soldierfish). Its description in RNAcentral is "lncRNA (ENSMMDG00005021325.1)". Lineage: Eukaryota; Metazoa; Chordata; Actinopteri; Holocentriformes; Holocentridae. The record is from RNAcentral.
CUUGUGUUCCAGACUCCAUCAGUGUCCUCUUAUGGGAUUACAGUUCUUACAUGCAGGCGGUCACUCAGUAUUACUCCCAACCUGCAACAACCACCCAGGCCUACGCCAGCAAGGAGGUAGAUGUGUGCAAGCCUCUCGGAGUCUCCCUGCAUGCAGUCAGUAACGGCGCCCCCCCUCCACAGGCCGUUCUCCCAGCUGCUGCUGUGCUGCCAGCCUACAGCACCCUGCCCUUAAUGCCCGGCUUCCUCGGGGCGCCCCACCCAGCGGCGGCCGCACCGAGCCCCGUCACACACACACACUCCGCCGCCACCGACUGGAACGCCUACUACUAUAACCAGGCGAGGGGGCAUAAGAGGGAGUACCCUCAGUUGGCGAUGCAGGAAGUGACAUCAUCAGAAGGUGCCUACAUUGGACAGCACUCCCAAGGCCUCGGGGGGCAGUACGCCGAUUACUUUAAAAGGAAGAGGCUCUAGUAUGGACUGCAACUCCUUAAACCCUAAAGCUGAGGGAGGCAUGUACAGUGUCUGCAGGAUGUCACAGCUCCCUCUUGUGGCCAUUUCCUGGCUGCCAUUUUGCAUCCCGUGCAGUAGGUAUUCAGAUUAAUUUGGGAUGCAAAAUGCAUCAAGUUAAAGCAAGCCAUAGUGCUGUAUGAUGUUGGCACUUAAAUACACAUAGACACACACUCACACACACACACACACACACACACACACACACACAUACAUAAACACACACAGUGUUGCUUUUGUCCUGUUCAAGCCUUAAACUCUUUAACUUAAACUUAUCUUCUCUCAGUCUGUGUAAAUGGUUCUUAACUAAUUAUAAUCUGUACAUUUUUCUAAUGUAAUGUAAACUACAGUAUAUGUGUAUAAGCUGCUUUUGUAUAUCAAGCCAGUCUACCUGUCUGCCUUCUUAUACUGUCCAAGGACUGGUCUUUUAGUCAGGUUUCUCUCUCUCUCUCUUUCUCUCUCAAGUAUUUUCUCUCUCCCUCUCAAAGGGGAAAUGUGUCUAACGUUGCACACUCGGCUUUGAUACGUCGUUCUAACCGGCGUCUGUUUGUUCCCGCUUCACUGUCUCUCUUUCCUUUUAUCGCCUAGGUUUCUCUUUGUAUCUCCCCAUGGAGACUCUAAGUGCGUGUGUGUCUCUGUGUGUGCGUGCGUGUGUGUGUGUGUAUUUGCGUUAAUGCGUGUUGUUAUGCUGUAACUGUAGGAAGCGAUCAGCCAUUUCAGUCCCAAGGAUGGGGGCGCAUCAGGAAAAAGGGCCUGAACCAAUCAAAGCCCUUAACUGUGGAAACUGACAGC